AGCCGGGCGGUCUUCGGAUCGCCCCAGCGGCGCCGGCACGUGCGCCGAGGCCAAGGGGACCCCGCCGCCUCCUCUAAUCGGCCAUCUGGACGGCGCUGGCUCCGCGGUGGACACCGCCAGGCUCCUCGACCUCGGGAUGCGCGAUUUUUUUCCUUUUGUCCCCAUCAUCACGCCCUGAUCGGCCGGUGCAGAAAAAAUGAG
RNAcentral lists this long non-coding RNA (201 nucleotides) under Spirodela polyrhiza (greater duckweed). RNAcentral describes it as "long non-coding RNA (SPOL_LNC002408)". The record is from RNAcentral. Lineage: Eukaryota; Viridiplantae; Streptophyta; Magnoliopsida; Alismatales; Araceae.